AUGGCUCAGGACGAACGCUGGCGGCAUGCCUAACACAUGCAAGUCGAACGGGGUAGCAAUACCCUAGUGGCGAACGGGUGAGUAACACAUAAGCAAUCUGCCCUUCACAGGGGGAUAACAGCGGGAAACUGCUGCUAAUACCGCAUAAGACCACAGUAUCGCAUGGUACAGGGGUAAAAACGAAUCAGUGGUGAAGGAUGAGCUUAUGUCCCAUUAGCUAGUUGGUGAGAUAACAGCCCACCAAGGCGACGAUGGGUAGCCGACCUGAGAGGGUGAUCGGCCACACUGGAACUGAGACACGGUCCAGACUCCUACGGGAGGCAGCAGUGGGGAAUAUUGGGCAAUGGAGGAAAAACCUCUUACCCAGCAAUGCCGCGUGAGUGAAGAAGGUCUUCGGAUUGUAAAGCUCUUUGAUUGGGGACGAAGAAAGUGACGGUACCCAAAGAACAAGCCCCGGCUAACUACGUGCCAGCAGCCGC
Molecule: ribosomal RNA, 479 nt
Filed under: uncultured bacterium
Lineage: Bacteria
Description: bacterial SSU rRNA
Rfam family: Bacterial small subunit ribosomal RNA
Source: RNAcentral